Callorhinchus milii (elephant shark) is the source of this 355-nucleotide long non-coding RNA. RefSeq lists it as uncharacterized. The record is from RefSeq and is a predicted model, not a curated record. The transcript has 2 exons. NCBI's taxonomy places the organism in Eukaryota, Metazoa, Chordata, Chondrichthyes, Chimaeriformes, Callorhinchidae.
AUGUUUUUGUCUGUGUUUGUGUGUGUUGGUGUGUGUGUGUUUGUGUGUAUGAACUCCUGCAACCUGUCCGGUAUCAAACAAACUGUGAGUGACAGUUGGUUAUACCCACAGUGUUUACUCUGAUCCCUGUCAUGUCUCUGUGUCUCUGAUCUCCAGGUUGGACAAUAACAGACUGACCGAUGGCUGCACUGAUGAUCUGGUCUCCGGUCUCAGUACAAACCGCUCACUGAGGUUCCUGGACCUGAGGUCUAACUCCUUCACAGACCGCUCUGUACCCGCUCUCCGCCGCCUCAUACAGACCUGCACCAGUCUCGGGGAGAUCUGGCUGUGGGGGAAUGGGUUCAGUUCAGACGGA